RNAcentral lists this transfer RNA (70 nucleotides) under Camelus bactrianus (Bactrian camel). It matches the Rfam family "tRNA". Rfam says of the family: Transfer RNA (tRNA) molecules are approximately 80 nucleotides in length. The record is from Rfam by way of RNAcentral. Lineage: Eukaryota; Metazoa; Chordata; Mammalia; Artiodactyla; Camelidae. RNAcentral also lists the same sequence under 2 other names.
GGGUAUAGCUCAGUGGUAGAGUGCGUGCUUAGCAUGUAUGAGGUCCUGGGUUCAAUCCCCGGUACCUCCA